AGUGAACGCUGGCGGCAGGCCUAAUACAUGCAAGUCGAACGGCAGCACAGUAAGAGCUUGCUCUUACGGGUGGCGAGUGGCGGAUGGGUGAGGAAUACAUCGGAAUCUACUUUUUCGUGGGGGAUAACGUAGGGAAACAUACGCUAAUACCGCAUAUGACCUACGGGUGAAAGCAGUGGAUCUUCGGACCUUGCGCGACUGAAUGAGCCGAUGUCGGAUUAGCUAGUUGGCGGGGUAAAGGCCCACCAAGGCGACGAUCCGUAGCUGGACUGAGAGGAUGAUCGGCCACACUGGAACUGAGACACGGUCCAGACUCCUACGGGAGGCAGCAGUGGGGAAUCUUGCACAAUGGGCGAAAGCCUGAUCCAGCAAUGCCGCGUGGGUGAAGAAGGCCUUCGGGUUGUAAAGCCCUUUUGUUAGGGAAGAAAAGCAGCAGGAUAAUCUCCCGCUGUUUUGACGGUACCCAAAGAGAAAGCACCGGCUAACUUCGUG
This 492-nucleotide ribosomal RNA is filed under the name uncultured bacterium. Its description in RNAcentral is "partial 16S ribosomal RNA". It matches the Rfam family "Bacterial small subunit ribosomal RNA", at positions 29 to 507 of the family's 1533-position model. The record is from RNAcentral.